GAUGAACGCUAGCUACAGGCUUAACACAUGCAAGUCGAGGGGAAACGGCAUUAAGUGCUUGCACUUUUUGGACGUCGACCGGCGCACGGGUGAGUAACGCGUAUCCAACCUUCCCAUGACUAAGGGAUAACCUGCCGAAAGGCAGACUAAUACCUUAUGGUCUUCACUGACGGCAUCAGAUGUGAAGUAAAGAUUUAUCGGUUAUGGAUGGGGAUGCGUCUGAUUAGCUUGUUGGCGGGGUAACGGCCCACCAAGGCAACGAUCAGUAGGGGUUCUGAGAGGAAGGUCCCCCACAUUGGAACUGAGACACGGUCCAAACUCCUACGGGAGGCAGCAGUGAGGAAUAUUGGUCAAUGGGCGAGAGCCUGAACCAACCAAGUAGCGUGCAGGAUGACGGCCCUAUGGGUUGUAAACUGCUUUUGUAUGGGGAUAAAGUCAAUCACGUGUGAUUGUUUGCAGGUACCAUACGAAUAAGGACCGGCUAAUUCCGUG
This 492-nucleotide ribosomal RNA is filed under the name uncultured bacterium. RNAcentral's name for it is "partial 16S ribosomal RNA". It matches the Rfam family "Bacterial small subunit ribosomal RNA", at positions 28 to 507 of the family's 1533-position model. The record is from RNAcentral.